UACAGAGGUCUCAAGCGUUGCUCGGAAUCACUGGGCGUAAAGGGCGCGUAGGCGGGAUGGCAAGUCGGUCGUGAAAUCCUUCGGCUCAACCGAAGAACGUCGGCCGAUACUGCCGUUCUUGAGGGAUGCAGAGGAGAUUGGAAUUCCCGGUGUAGCGGUGAAAUGUGUAGAGAUCGGGAGGAACACCGGUGGCGAAGGCGGGUCUCUGGGCAUCUCCUGACGCUGAGGCGCGAAAGCGUGGGGAGCAAACAGG
Molecule: ribosomal RNA, 253 nt
Filed under: uncultured bacterium
Lineage: Bacteria
Description: partial 16S ribosomal RNA
Rfam family: Bacterial small subunit ribosomal RNA
Source: RNAcentral